CGGUGGAUGCCUUGGCAGUCAGAGGCGAUGAAAGACGUAGUAACUUGCGAUAAGCCCAGAUUAGGUAGUAACAACCAUUUGAGUCUGGGAUUUCUGAAUGGGGAAACCCACUUACAUAAGUAAGUAUCCUUACCUGAAUACAUAGGGUAAGGAGGCGAACCGGGGGAACUGAAACAUCUAAGUACCCCGAGGAAAAGAAAUCAACC
Molecule: ribosomal RNA, 206 nt
Filed under: Vibrio parahaemolyticus
Lineage: Bacteria; Pseudomonadati; Pseudomonadota; Gammaproteobacteria; Vibrionales; Vibrionaceae
Description: partial 23S ribosomal RNA
Rfam family: Bacterial large subunit ribosomal RNA
Source: RNAcentral